This 465-nucleotide ribosomal RNA is filed under the name Vreelandella stevensii. Its description in RNAcentral is "partial 16S ribosomal RNA". It matches the Rfam family "Bacterial small subunit ribosomal RNA", at positions 338 to 795 of the family's 1533-position model. The record is from RNAcentral. Lineage: Bacteria; Pseudomonadati; Pseudomonadota; Gammaproteobacteria; Oceanospirillales; Halomonadaceae.
CCUACGGGUGGCAGCAGUGGGGAAUAUUGGACAAUGGGCGAAAGCCUGAUCCAGCCAUGCCGCGUGUGUGAAGAAGGCCUUCGGGUUGUAAAGCACUUUCAGUGGGGAAGAAAGCCUUGGGGCUAAUACCCUCGAGGAAGGACAUCACCCACAGAAGAAGCACCGGCUAACUCCGUGCCAGCAGCCGCGGUAAUACGGAGGGUGCGAGCGUUAAUCGGAAUUACUGGGCGUAAAGCGCGCGUAGGCGGUCUGAUAAGCCGGUUGUGAAAGCCCCGGUCUCAACCUGGGAACGGCAUCCGGAACUGUCAGGCUAGAGUGCAGGAGAGGAAGGUAGAAUUCCCGGUGUAGCGGUGAAAUGCGUAGAGAUCGGGAGGAAUACCAGUGGCGAAGGCGGCCUUCUGGACUGACACUGACGCUGAGGUGCGAAAGCGUGGGUAGCAAACAGGAUUAGAUACCCUUGUAGUC